Molecule: long non-coding RNA, 345 nt
Filed under: Elaeis guineensis (African oil palm)
Lineage: Eukaryota; Viridiplantae; Streptophyta; Magnoliopsida; Arecales; Arecaceae
Description: long non-coding RNA (EGUI_LNC047611)
Source: RNAcentral
CUUCACUGUUUUGCAAAAAUAGUACAUAAUUGCUUUAAAUUUUUGAAAAUCAAAUUCAUCCUCCUUUUGGGUUAUCUAGCUGGGCAAUAAUGUCCGUAUAAUUGGUUUUCAAUGCAUGGUAAAUCAUUAUUGAUUUUCUAUCUCUUCUAUCUUUGCAUAACAUACAACCCAUGAUCAAGUUGUUUUGUGCCUACCACAUACUAAAGAAACAUCCUUUCUAGCAGGGUUGAUGGUAUAUCUCAACUCGAAAGGGGUUAUAGUUGAUCCAAGGUAGUCCUUUCUCAAUUCAUGAUCGGAAGGGCCACUUGUUUUUUGUUUUAUCUAAGCAACUUGUACCGAGCUGCC